RNA transcript from Vicia villosa (hairy vetch), 1572 nucleotides. It is a transcript of the gene named RHOMBOID-like protein 3, with no coding region annotated. NCBI's taxonomy places the organism in Eukaryota, Viridiplantae, Streptophyta, Magnoliopsida, Fabales, Fabaceae. The transcript has 5 exons. The record is from RefSeq and is a predicted model, not a curated record.
ACCAUCUACUCCAAGUUUGCAAUUAAGGUGACAGUUACAUUCUACAAACCUGAAAGAUGUCUUCUUCCACUACUUGCUGAUCCUGUCUUUUUCUUUUCUUAUUGAAACCCACUCUCACCAAACCCACCUUCCAUCUUCUCCACAACCCAAUUCUUGUCCAUAAAUUUCGAAACUUGUCUCUCUGGGUUCUAUCUAGAGAGAGAGAGAGAAAAUGGCUGGUAGAGAUCUAGAGAGAGAAGGGGCAAACAAGAGCUAUUCUUCUUCUGUUCCUCCUCCUCCUCCUUCGCGUGUUUAUGAUCCAGAAACUAGCUGGACAUCAUGGCUUGUUCCUAUGUUUGUUGUCGCUAAUCUUGUUAUUUUCAUUCUAGCCAUGUAUAUUAAUGAUUGUCCUCGUAAACCUCAUGCGGUUGAAGGUGAUUGUGUCUUUAAGUUCCUUGGUAGAUUCUCUUUUCAGCCUACCAGAGAGAAUCCUUUGUUUGGUCCUUCUUCUUUAACAUUAACGAAGAUGGGAGCUCUUAAGUGGGAUGCUGUUGUGAAUCAGCACCAAGGAUGGAGACUUAUCACAUGCAUAUGGUUACAUGCUGGAAUUAUUCAUUUGGCAGCAAACAUGUUAAGUCUAGUCUUCAUUGGCAUUCGCCUUGAACAACAAUUUGGGUUUGUGAGGAUAGGAAUCAUUUACCUUAUAUCUGGAUUCGGUGGGAGUAUCCUAUCUUCUCUAUUCAUUAGAAACAACAUCUCCGUUGGUGCUUCUGGCGCUCUUUUUGGACUUCUUGGAGCAAUGCUUUCAGAACUUAUCACAAACUGGACUAUUUAUACCAAUAAAGUAGCUGCUUUGGUCACACUUUUGUUUAUUGUUGUCAUCAAUCUUGCGAUUGGAAUGUUGCCACAUGUCGACAAUUUUGCUCAUAUUGGGGGAUUCUUGACAGGAUUUCUCCUUGGUUUUGUUUUCCUUCCCCGUCCUCAAUUUGGGUGGUUAGCACAGAGACAUGUUCCUCCCGGUGCUCGUCUCAAGUCCAAAUACAAGUAUUAGAGUUUGACCUAACUCAUCCUUACAAAACCGGUUGGUAAGGUGAGGAGUGUCCCUCUAUAUAUAUUCUUUGAAAGCUCUAUCUCUAGCCAAUGUGGGACUUUAGGAUCUUCCUAAUACACCCCCUCACGCCCAGCACUCUUUUGGGCUUGGUGCGUGGAUAUUAAUGGUGGGCGGCCCAUGGUCCGAUCGAUAGGCUCUGAUACCAUAUUAGAGUUUGACCUAACUCAUCCUUACAAAACCGGUUGGUAAGGUUAUUCAUUGGUUUACUAAUGCUAUUGCGGGGCGAAAACGGAUACGAUCACUGCCAUUGGUGUCACUACCUAACAUGCGUUCCAACUUCAAAAUGGAAAUGCAGUGACGGUUAAACUUUUCUUGUUCUUUUAUGUAUAGCUAUGACUUUUACAGAUUAUUUUUUUGGUUAAUUCCUUAUAAGAAUCAGCUAUUAGUUUGUGUUUGGAUUUAUGUGGGCAUAUAAACAUACAUAUAUAAAGGAAUUUAUUUGUACAUGAAGUUUCUAUUUCAAUAAUAUAUAUUCUAGCUGA